Molecule: unclassified non-coding RNA, 298 nt
Filed under: fungal sp.
Lineage: Eukaryota; Fungi
Description: partial internal transcribed spacer region
Rfam family: Eukaryotic small subunit ribosomal RNA (bases 1-46)
Source: RNAcentral
AAGUCGUAACAAGGUUUCCGUAGGUGAACCUGCGGAAGGAUCAUUGACAAAUCUAAACAAUGUUGCUUGUAGCCGGUAGCAAUACCAGCUACAAGUUAACAAACAUACUAACCUGUGAAUUGGCAGCACGCAAGUGUUGUUUGUGUGAAGUGUGAGUGUAGGAAUCUUAGCCUAGAUGGCUACUAUGCCUUCACUUACCUUUGCCUAAAUUAACGUAACCAAUUGUCUUACAAAAACAAAACAAAAUACAACUUUUAGCAAUGGAUCUCUUGGCUUCUGUAACGAUGAAAAACGCAGC